Molecule: long non-coding RNA, 850 nt
Organism: Rhineura floridana
Lineage: Eukaryota; Metazoa; Chordata; Lepidosauria; Squamata; Rhineuridae
Exons: 3
Source: RefSeq, a predicted model, not a curated record
AAGGGGCUUGGAAAACAUGCACAUUUAUUUACAUUUAAUAACUUAUUUGGUUAAAUGGCAGAAGAUCAUCUCAGCAAAAUGCAAAACUGUUUAAUCAGUUGGUCUGGGGCAAUGAAUAAGCAUGUUAAUUGAUUCCAUCUUCUGUUGCUGAGUUGUUUAUAACUUUACACAUUUACAGCGUUGAUGUGGAAUUUCUUACUAGCUGAUAACAAGAGUCUCUGGGCAACUUUUAGCAGGUUGCUAAGGGACCCUGUGCAUUUCACUGUUGGUUUUUUAUAUAAAAAGGGACUUUAUUUUUAGAUUUUCAUGCAAUGUUGAUUUGAUUGCAUCAGAGGAAAAGGAAAGACAUCAGCAAUAACAGAGGCUAUCCAACAGGCAGAAAUUCAGAAGACACAGUUUUCCCUAACAUGGAGAUAUGAUGAUGGAGGAGGCAAUCCAAUGCAAAGUUGAGCUUGUACCUUUCAGCAUACCAUCGUAAAACUUAUUUUUCCUAAGGAUGCUUUUUACAUUCUUCACUGGCUCUGAAGGAAGCUGAAGCUCUUGAAACAUAAAUAUCUGCAUGCCUAUGUGCACGCAAACCUUCCCCCACUAUCAAGUAAGAUCCAGACAGUGCAAAUAAUUAAACAAAUCAUUCUGUUGUAGACACGGCUCCUACAGAGAUUACCCCAAGAGAUAAGCAAUUGUUGAUGAAAAUGAAGUACCAUUGACCGAUCGAAUGUAUCUCAGUCACAGAGUCCAUGUAAGAGAUGAAUCCGAUAAAGCAGAAUGGAUUCCAAAGGCAGAGGCGAGAGCCAGCACCCUGGAGCACUGCAACAGAAAUGCUGACAUUGAUGAACUCAGGCAUUCAUAA